Long non-coding RNA from Zingiber officinale, 384 nucleotides. RefSeq lists it as uncharacterized. The transcript has 3 exons. NCBI's taxonomy places the organism in Eukaryota, Viridiplantae, Streptophyta, Magnoliopsida, Zingiberales, Zingiberaceae. The record is from RefSeq and is a predicted model, not a curated record.
GGAUGGUAUAUGUUAUACAUCUCAAGCUUGCCUAUUAACCAGUCAAAAAUAGGGAGAGCUUUUGUAAGAAUGUCUGCAACCUAUUGUGUGUUCUUCAAGGAGUUGUUUCAGCCAAAGAGCUUCACAUAUACCAAUAGCAGUGGAACGAAGCUCGGUCUCGGCACUACUUCUUGCUACAACGUGUUGAUGCAUGUUACACUAAUAAUCAAACUCAGAGUUUGAUAUAUGACAAAGGUUGAUAGCUGGCAUAAAGUCCAGAUUGGUUGACAUCUUGCAGGAGGAAGCCUAGUUGAGUUGACAAUUGGCUGAAGUCCAUAUUAGUUGAGAUAUAACAGGAAGUCAUGGUGGGUCAAGAGACCAGACAUCAAGGAAGUCUGCGAUUGG